AGAGUUUGAUUAUGGCUCAGGAUGAACGCUGGCGGCGUGCUUAACACAUGCAAGUCGAACGAGGUCCAACCUUCGGGUGAAGACCGAGUGGCGAACGGGUGAGUAACACGUGGGGAACCUGCCCUUCUCUCUGGGAUAACCUCGGGAAACCGAAGCUAAUACCGGAUACUCCUUGCGGACCGCAUGGUCUGCUCGGGAAAGCUCCGGCGGAGAAGGAUGGCCCCGCGGCCCAUUAGCUUGUUGGUGGGGUAACGGCCCACCAAGGCGACGAUGGGUAGCCGAGCUGAGAGGCUGAUCGGCCACACUGGGACUGAGACACGGCCCAGACUCCUACGGGAGGCAGCAGUGGGGAAUCUUGCGCAAUGGGCGAAAGCCUGACGCAGCAACGCCGCGUGCGGGAUGAAGGCUCUCGGGUCGUAAACCGCUUUCAGCAGGGAUGAAAAUGACAGUACCUGCAGAAGAAGCCCCGGCUAAAUACGUGCCAGCAGCCGCGGUAAUACGUAUGGGGCAAGCGUUAUCCGGAUUCAUUGGGCGUAAAGCGCGCGUAGGCGGCUUGUUAAGUCAGGCGUGAAAUCCGGGGGCUCAACCCGCGGCUUGCGUCUGAAACUGGCAGGCUUGAGUCUGGUAGAGGAAAGUGGAAUUCCUGGUGUAGCGGUGAAAUGCGCAGAUAUCAGGAGGAACACCAGUGGCGAAGGCGGCUUUCUGGGCCACGACUGACGCUGAGGCGCGAAAGCUAGGGGAGCGAACAGGAUUAGAUACCCUGGUAGUC
This 769-nucleotide ribosomal RNA is filed under the name uncultured Actinomycetes bacterium. RNAcentral's name for it is "bacterial SSU rRNA". It matches the Rfam family "Bacterial small subunit ribosomal RNA", at positions 8 to 795 of the family's 1533-position model. The record is from RNAcentral. Lineage: Bacteria; Bacillati; Actinomycetota; Actinomycetes.